Molecule: ribosomal RNA, 254 nt
Filed under: uncultured bacterium
Lineage: Bacteria
Description: partial 16S ribosomal RNA
Rfam family: Bacterial small subunit ribosomal RNA
Source: RNAcentral
GACAGAGGUGCCGAGCGUUAGGCGGAAUCACUGGGCUUAAAGCGCGUGUAGGCGGAAGAGCACGUCCGUUGCUGAAAUCCCCCGGCUCAACCGGGGAACGGGCGCGGAUACGACUCUUCUGGAGGGGCGUAGGGGGACCUGGAACUUCCGGUGGAGCGGUGAAAUGCGUUGAGAUCGGAAGGAACGCCCGUGGCGAAAGCGAGGUCCUGGACGCCUACUGACGCUGAGACGCGAAAGCCAGGGGAGCGAACGGG